CAUGGAGGUUCCCAGGCUAGAGGUCAAAUUAAAGCUACAGCUGUGGGCCUACACCACAGCCACAGCAAUGUUGGAUCAAAGCCAUAUCUAUGACCUACACCACAGCUCAUGGCAAUGCCGGAUCCUUAAUCUGCAGAACGAGGCCAGCAAUAGAACCAGCAACCUUAUGGUUCCUAGUUGGAUUUAGUUCCACUGCACCAUGAGAGGAACUCUCUGUAAAUACAUUGUGUUUAUUCUUCCUAAUCAAUUGUUCAGGUCAUUUGACUCUCUUACAGACUUGUGUAAGUCCUCUUUGUAUUAAAGAUUUAAAAUUUGCACUCUCAUGCUCCUAGUGCAAAAUUUCCCCAGUCACCAUUCAUCCGUCCAUUUUCUUUUUGAUGUGUUGAACUAAAUGGGUUUUCACUUUAUAAAAAUGAAACCGAUAAAAAAAAAUUCCUCCUUCUGACUCUUCUGCCAGUGUUAUCAUUGGAAAUUCUUUUCUGCAUAGAGUUCAUGUGAUCAAUAAAUUGUUGUUUUUUUUUUGUUUCAGUAAGAUGUGUUAUUUUUUAAGACGAGUCUUACUGAGAUGUAAUUCAUACACCAUAAAAUUCAUUUUAAAGGCUAUAAUUCAGUGGCUUUCAGUAUGUGGUGUGUUAUUUAUUUACUUUUUUGGCUAUGCCCACAUCAACAGAAGUUCACAGGCCAGGCAUCAAACACAUGGCACAGUACUGACCUGAGCCACAGCACUGUGGUACAGGUUACAAUUACAGCACAGGUUCAAUCCUUGGUCCAGGAACUUCCACAUUCCACAGGUAUGGCCAAAAAAAAGAGUUUCCUCUCAAUUUCAAGUCCCAUAAUUAUUCAAAAUCAGGAUGCUGACAAUAAUGGGACUCUCAUUCAUUCAAAUAUAGCAUAUAUAUUUUCCCUCAGGGUGUUUCUUUCUACUAUAAUUUCCUCCUCUGUGGCACUUUACUGCAAGCCUAUCUAGUUUAACUGCCAUGUCAUCUUCAAAAUGUGCCCUCUCACACCAGCCCACUCUAAUCAUCAGACAGGAUCUCUUUUUCUUGUGAGCUCCACUAUCCCUUUUACCUAAUCUUCCUAUUCCCACCAUUCUAAGAUCAAGAAUAACAAUAAAUCUUGCCAAUUCCAUUUAGCAUUGUACUAGAGGUUCUAAACAGCAUGUCUAAGGAAGAAAAGGAAAUAUAAGGCACUUAGAUUGUAAAGAAGGAAAAUUGUCUCUACUUGCAAAUGGCAGAUUCUGUAUAGUUUUAAAUUCUUAAGAAAUCAAUCCCCCCCAGAACCUAGUAGAAAUAAUAAACAGUCUGAAUUCAACACAAUCCCAUUACAAAUCUCAGCUAUAUAUAUUUCUUUUGCAUAAAAUGACAAGCUGAUCCUAAAAUUCACAUGGAAAUGAAAUAGAACCAGAAUAACCAGUCCUUUCUUGAAAAUGAAGACUAAUGUUGGUAGACUCACACUUCCUGAUUUCAAAACUUACUACAAACUAAAUAACUAAGAAGUAAUUUAUGCUUAGUACUUCACAUGAAAAGAUUCUAAUCAUCACAAAUCAUCAGAGAAAGCAAAUCAAACUGCAAUGAGAUAUUGCUUCACACCUGUCAAAAUGGCCAUCAUCAAAAAGAACAUGAAUAACAAAUGUUGGUAAGGAUGCAAAGAAAAGGCAACCCUCAUACACUGUUGGUGGAUCUGUAAAUUGGUGCAGCCAUUAUGGAAAGCAGUAUAGUAGUUUCUCCAAAAACUGAAGUAGAACUACCCUAUGACCCAAAAAUUCCACUCGGGUGCAUAACCCCCCCAAAAGAAAACCAAAUAACAAAAACAAAACACUAAUUCAAAAAGAUACAUGCACCCCAAUAUUCAUAGCAGCAUUAUUUACAAUUGCCAAGAUAUGGAAGCAACCUAAGUGUCCAUCAACAGAUGAAUGGACACACACACAUAUAAAUAGAUGAAUGGACACACACACACACACACAUAUAAAUACACAUAUAAACACAAUGAGCUACUACUCAGACAUAAAGAAAAUGAAAUUGUGCCAAUUGCAACACCAUGGGUGGUACUGGAGAACCACAUGCUAAGUGAAAAAACUCAGAAAAAGAUAACUAAAUAUAUGACAUCACUUAUAUAUGGAAUGUUAAAAGUACAACACACUAGGGAACAUAACAAAAAAGAAGCAGACUCACAGAUACAGAGAACAAAUCAGUGGUCACCAGUGAGGAGAAGGAAGAGGGGAGGGGCAAGACCAGUUCAGAAGAUUAAUACAUACACACUAUUAGGUAUAAAAUAAGCCACAUGGAUAUACUGUACAGCAUGGGGAAUAUAGCCAAUAUUUUAUAAUAACUAUAGAAGGAGUAUAAUAUUAAAAUUAUGAAUCACUAUAUAUAAUACAAGUGUACACUAUAUAAUUAUUGUAGAAAAACUAGACUUCAAUUAACAGGACAAUGAUACACAAGCAUUAUGCCAGACAAAGGAAUACAAUUGAGAGUCCACAAACAAACCUUCACAUUUAUGGGCAAUUUGUUUUCAAGAAGACUUCCAGGGAAAUUCAAGGGGGAAAGAACAGUGCUUUCAACAAACCAUGCUGAUAAAACUGAAUCGCCAGAUGCAAAAGAAUGAAAAUGGACCUUCAUCUCACACUUCAUGCAAAAAUUAAUUCAGAAGGAUGAUAGGGAUCAAUGCAAGAGCUUAAACUACAGGACACUUAGAGAAAAGCAUGGGAGUGAGACUCUUUCUGACCUUAGAUUAGGCAAUGGUUUCCUAAGCAUGACACCAAACUGCUUGUCUAUACAAGCAGUAAUAGAAAACAUGGAUCAACAGGAAUUCAUCAAAAUCACCAAGUUUUUUACUUCAAAAGAUACCAUCAGGAGAGUGAAUAGACAACCCAUGGAAAGGUAGAAAUAUAUCCAAAUCAUAUAGUUGAUAAGAUAUUGGUAUAAGCAUAUAUGAAGAAUUCUUACACUUCAGCAAAACGACUAAUAAACCAAUUUUAAAAUGUGCAAAGGAUUUAAAGAGACAUUUUUCCAAAAGAAAAAAUACAAAUGGCCAAUUAACUCAACAUCAUUAAUCAUUGGGGAAUACUAAUCAAAAUCACAAUGAGAUACCCCUUCACUUCCACUAAUAUGGUUAAUUUUUUAAAAAAGUAUUAAUGGACAAUGUUAAAAUGUUAGCAAGGAAUGAGAGGAGGGUGAACACUUCUGUAUUGGUAGUAAGCACUUAAUAUAAAGUAGCCAAUUUGGAAAACAUGGGCAGUUUCACAAAAAGUUCAAACAUAGAGUUACCAUACCACACAGCAAUUCCAUUCCUAGGUAUAUAACUAAGAAAACCUACAUCCAUAUAAAAGCUUGUACAUGAAUGUUCAUAGCAGCACUAUUCAUAAUAAUCAAAGAGCAGAAACCACAUGAAAAAGCACAUAAUUGUUUAAAAUUUUCUGUUAACUCUAGUAUCAGCUUAGGCCCACAAUAAACAAAUGCAAAAACAUAAUUAGGGGAAAAUAUAUUAGGGAAGAUGCUUUUGAAAGAUCAAGAGGACAGGAUGACACUCACACAUAAGCCCCUCCAUUCAUAUAAAGUGUAAUUCAGUUGCCAUGGAGGAGGGGGAAGAAAACCCACCUGUCUGUUCAUGAACUGGCCCCUGAAAAAAGAGCCAGCCACCAUUCCCCCACCCCAGAAUGGUAGGAGGCAGUUUUCAUAAGCAAGGGAACUUACUUACAAGGCUUUUCUUUGAAGCCAAAAGCAGCUCUCCACCCCUGCUGGCCAGGAUCUUGAAAGCUUUUACAGAGGCCCUCAGUGGGUUCAGACACACAUGUUGUCCAUAGAGUCUCAGCAACACACUGUUGCUUCAAGGCUGCCUCCUCGAAAAUGGCUCCCAGCCUAAGAACCGAGGUCAGAGUGUACAUUUCAAGGACAUAGGCAGGGUCAAGACACCUCCAAUCAGCCAAGUCCAACUUGCAGGUCAAUCAGCAGUUACCUUUUCUCUGUCCUCUCAGUGACCUCUCCAGAUGUAACUGAACAGGUCCCUAGGGGGGCUUCCUUGGAAAUACCCCCUGCUCCCCUGCUCCACCCCAUGUUCUUGGCCUUCUGCUGGUUUGUAAACAAACAUUAGCUUCCUCGGCCUUCCUCGAGUUCCAAGGAAUACAUUUAAUCAGAGAAUUGAGAAAAGUACAGAUAGAAAAGGAAACAAGCCAGACCAAAAAAAAUAAUACUAAUUUAGCCACAAAACAAAGUCAAGGACUUUUAGUUCCUCCUCAAGGGCUACAGGUAAUAUUCUGAGCCAUUCCCUUUGAGCUGUUUGGCAGAUACUGAAACCCCUACCAGGUGGGAAAAAUUAACUGCUUGCUAACCACAAGCACGUGGACCAGUUGGAACCCAAAGGCUGAUGAUGUUGACUCCUGAUUACCUCACCACCAACCAAUCAGAGGAAUGUCUCCCAGCUUGUUGUGCACCUGCAACCCUCUCCCUCACUCUGUCUUUAAAAAUCUUUCCCUAAAAGCUAUCAGACUUUGUUUUAUUUUGUUUUUAUGGCCUCACCCAUGGAAUAUGGAAGUUACCAGCCCAGCAAGUGGGAGCUGUAGCCUCUGAUCUAUGCUACAGCCACUGCAAUGCAGGAUCCAAGAUACAUCUGCAACCUACACCACAGCUCAUGGCAACACCAGAUCCUUAACCCACUGAGCAAACCUGUGUCCUCAUGGUCACUAGUUAGAUUCCUUUCUGCUGAGCUAUGACAGGAACUCACCAUCUAUCAGGAUUUUGGGGCAUUAGCCACCUUGUUGCCCUGCAACAAA
This 4768-nucleotide long non-coding RNA is filed under the name Sus scrofa (pig). RNAcentral describes it as "lncRNA (ENSSSCG00015047221.1)". Lineage: Eukaryota; Metazoa; Chordata; Mammalia; Artiodactyla; Suidae. The record is from RNAcentral.